CCUGGAGGCCAAUGUCACCGCGCUGGGGACCGAGCUGGUGGCGCUGCGGCGCGAGCGGGCCGAGCUGGCGGGUGACAAAGUGGCGCUGCAAGAGGAGGUGGCGCGGGGCGCGGAGCGGGCGCGGAGGCUGCAGGAGGAGCUGGAGCAGCUGCGGGAGCUGCGGGAGCGCCGGGAGCGCUGCGAGGCGCGACACCGGGAGCUCCAGGACACCCUCCGGGACUGCGCGGCCGAGGUGGAGGCGCUGCGGCGGCGGGGGAGGGACAGAGGCAGCGGGCGCAGGUGUCCCCCGGCCCG
This is a long non-coding RNA of Parus major (Great Tit), 294 nucleotides long. RefSeq lists it as uncharacterized. The transcript has 3 exons. The record is from RefSeq and is a predicted model, not a curated record. Lineage: Eukaryota; Metazoa; Chordata; Aves; Passeriformes; Paridae.